Molecule: ribosomal RNA, 919 nt
Filed under: Agaricus crocopeplus
Lineage: Eukaryota; Fungi; Basidiomycota; Agaricomycetes; Agaricales; Agaricaceae
Description: eukaryotic LSU rRNA
Rfam family: Eukaryotic large subunit ribosomal RNA
Source: RNAcentral
AUAGCAUAUCAAUAAGCGGAGGAAAAGAAACUAACAAGGAUUCCCCUAGUAACUGCGAGUGAAGCGGGAAAAGCUCAAAUUUAAAAUCUGGCGGUCUUUGGCCGUCCGAGUUGUAAUCUAGAGAAGUAAUGCCCGUGCUGGACCGUGUAUAAGUCUCCUGGGAUGGGGCGUCAUAGAGGGUGAGAAUCCCGUCUUUGACACGGACUACCAGUGCAUUGUGGUAUGCUCUCAAAGAGUCGAGUUGUUUGGGAAUGCAGCUCAAAAUGGGUGGUAAAUUCCAUCUAAAGCUAAAUAUUGGCGAGAGACCGAUAGCGAACAAGUACCGUGAGGGAAAGAUGAAAAGAACUUUGGAAAGAGAGUUAAACAGUACGUGAAAUUGCUGAAAGGGAAACGCUUGAAGUCAGUCGCGUUGGCCAGGGAUCAGCCUUGCUUUUGCAUGGUGUACUUUCUGGUUGACGGGUCAGCAUCAAUUUUGACCGCUGGAAAAAGGCUUGGGGAAUGUGGCAGCAUUGGCUGUGUUAUAGCCCCUGGUCACAUACAGCGGUUGGGAUUGAGGAACUCAGCACGCCGCAAGGCCGGGUUUCGACCACGUUCGUGCUUAGGAUGCUGGCAUAAUGGCUUUAAGCGACCCGUCUUGAAACACGGACCAAGGAGUCUAACAUGCCUGCGAGUAUUUGGGUGGAAAACCCGAGUGCGCAAUGAAAGUGAAAGUUGAGAUCCCUGUCGUGGGGAGCAUCGACGCCCGGACCAGAACUUUUGCGACGGAUCCGCGGUGGAGCAUGUAUGUUGGGACCCGAAAGAUGGUGAACUAUGCCUGAAUAGGGUGAAGCCAGAGGAAACUCUGGUGGAGGCUCGUAGCGAUUCUGACGUGCAAAUCGAUCGUCAAAUUUGGGUAUAGGGGCGAAAGACUAAUCGAACC